RNAcentral lists this long non-coding RNA (1495 nucleotides) under Volvox carteri. Its description in RNAcentral is "long non-coding RNA (VCAR_LNC002330)". The record is from RNAcentral. Lineage: Eukaryota; Viridiplantae; Chlorophyta; Chlorophyceae; Chlamydomonadales; Volvocaceae.
CAGCGGAAUUUCCUUAAAAUUCUGCUGAUUUCCACCAUAACGUUUUGGGUCCAAUCCCAAAUCAAAUUCUCCUUCGCACCACUUUUACGCUGUGCUUUUCACCGUCGGCCCUACAGCUGUUGCGCUGCUGUCCGCAGUUUGUCCACGACCCUUGCCGGGACCCACUGGCCCAUCGGAAAGAAAAUGACGUUUAUGGAUCUCAAAAUAAGAUGACAUGUAUUGACGCGGCCAACAGCGCAUGAGCUACCGACGGAAAGCACGCUCGCUGCAGAUCAGGGGGUGAACUUCUCUCCUUUAGUAGGGUUUUUUGAGUUCCUCGAAAGGACCCACCAUCGCGUAUAUAAACUAUAAUCCUAGACGUCUUUAAACGAAGCAACGCGCUCUCCCCUCCUGCCCAGCCCUGCGGCCGACUCCCUCCUCCCCAACAAAUCGAGUCGUCUCCGGCCAAUACUAUCGUCCUGCAUCCGCCCCGCGAUACUAUAAGGGACGGACAGCAGCCUGCGACCAUCACCACCGCCUCACCAUAAGCUGAAAAGAACUAACGCCACAUCACACCAUGAUGCGUAUGUUUCCCCGGAGAUCCCCCCGAAAUCCUGUACACCCCCCCUAGCACUUCAAUUUCAAGCUUGUGCGUGCAUCAAUUCUCCAAACCUCACUCCCACUCAAAACCAAUCCAACCACAACUAUCAUCGUCAGGCUAUAUACCUUGUUAAUCAUAACCAACUCAUUCCAAAAGCCGCAACAAACAUCCGCCUCGCGGGUCUGCUCUCUAAAUGUACCACAUCACAGAUGGACCACACCGCACAUACACACCACACCAGGACAUCCUCCUCGUCCCAACUUUGCAAAUCUUCCCACGCCUUCACCUCACGUCUCCGAUUCUGUCCUCGAUUCUGUCCUCGAGGUCCUUGAAGCAGUCCGCAGAACAGUCUUGAAAAACCAAACAGGAAACCCUAGGAACAGCACUGAACUCGAACCGACCACAACUCUUCUGCCGGGGCCCUCCCAACACCAUCAAUCCCCCCCCCUACCGCACCGCACCGCACCAAGGGACGCGUCUACAAUAGCUGCUCGUCGUAAGGUACACACAGUCGACACUGCUUUACUGCCACAGCGAUCGUACACCUCAAUCUGCCCUCUUCCUGCUUUUGCCUGCAUCAAUGAUCCCCGGCUUCGGUAUCCGGAAUCCCAGUUCCAAAACCCCCAAACUUCCCCCGUAUAUGUACAUACAUACAUACAUACAUACAUACAUACAUACAUACAUACAUACAUACAUACAUACAUACACACAUAUAGGACUCUCAAGCCCUACGACCGCCUCUCAGGAGUGACCCCGCACAAGCUCCGCCUGCUGCAACCGCUUCAGCGCUACGAGGUACCCUGCCGUACGCAACGACAGAGAGGUGCCGUACUGCUCCUGCUCCCGUAGCAAAGCGUUGUACGCGUCGGUCAGGUACCUGUCCAGCUCCCGCUUCACCUCAUCCUCCUCCCACUG